This 72-nucleotide transfer RNA is filed under the name Camelus bactrianus (Bactrian camel). It matches the Rfam family "tRNA". Rfam says of the family: Transfer RNA (tRNA) molecules are approximately 80 nucleotides in length. Their secondary structure includes four short double-helical elements and three loops (D, anti-codon, and T loops). Further hydrogen bonds mediate the characteristic L-shaped molecular structure. tRNAs have two regions of fundamental functional importance: the anti-codon, which is responsible for specific mRNA codon recognition, and the 3' end, to which the tRNAs corresponding amino acid is attached (by aminoacyl-tRNA synthetases). tRNAs cope with the degeneracy of the genetic code in two manners: having more than one tRNA (with a specific anti-codon) for a particular amino acid; and 'wobble' base-pairing, i.e. permitting non-standard base-pairing at the 3rd anti-codon position. RNAcentral also lists the same sequence under 1 other name. The record is from Rfam by way of RNAcentral. Lineage: Eukaryota; Metazoa; Chordata; Mammalia; Artiodactyla; Camelidae.
GUGGUUAUAGCUCAGUGGUGGAGCACAUGCUUAGCAUGCAUGAGGUCCUGGGUUCAAUCCCCAGUUCCUCCA